GAUGAACGCUGGCGGCGUGCCUAAUACAUGCAAGUCGAGCGAACAGAUGAGGAGCUUGCUCCUCUGACGUUAGCGGCGGACGGGUGAGUAACACGUGGAUAACCUACCUAUAAGACUGGGAUAACUUCGGGAAACCGGAGCUAAUACCGGAUAAUAUAUUGAACCGCAUGGUUCAAUAGUGAAAGACGGUUUUGCUGUCACUUAUAGAUGGAUCCGCGCCGCAUUAGCUAGUUGGUAAGGUAACGGCUUACCAAGGCGACGAUGCGUAGCCGACCUGAGAGGGUGAUCGGCCACACUGGAACUGAGACACGGUCCAAACUCCUACGGGAGGCAGCAGUAGGGAAUCUUCCGCAAUGGGCGAAAGCCUGACGGAGCAACGCCGCGUGAGUGAUGAAGGUCUUCGGAUCGUAAAACUCUGUUAUUAGGGAAGAACAAAUGUGUAAGUAACUAUGCACGUCUUGACGGUACCUAAUCAGAAAGCCACGGCUAACUACGUG
RNAcentral lists this ribosomal RNA (497 nucleotides) under uncultured bacterium. Its description in RNAcentral is "partial 16S ribosomal RNA". It matches the Rfam family "Bacterial small subunit ribosomal RNA", at positions 28 to 507 of the family's 1533-position model. The record is from RNAcentral.